Non-coding RNA from Microcebus murinus (gray mouse lemur), 1261 nucleotides. Lineage: Eukaryota; Metazoa; Chordata; Mammalia; Primates; Cheirogaleidae. The record is from RefSeq and is a predicted model, not a curated record.
GCCUAUAGUCCCACCUACUUGGUAGACUGAGGCAGGAGGAAUGUUUGAGCCCGGGAGUCUGGGGUUGCUGUGAGUGAGACUGAUGCCUGGGCACUCCUCUAGCCCAGGUAAAAGAAUGUGACUCUGUCUCAAAAAAAAAAAAAAAAUUGUUGAUGAAGAUGUAGAGAAAUUGGAACUCUCAUGCACUGGUAGAGGGACUGUACAAUGGUGUCACUGCUGUUUAAAAUACUAUGCUGGUUGCUCAGAAAAUUAAAGAUAAAUAUUAUGUGAUCCAGCAAUCCCACCUCUGGGUAUGUACCCAAAGGCAUUGAAAACACAAUCUCAAAGAGGUAUUUGUCCACUCACGGUCACAGCAGUGUUAUUCACAAGAGCCGAAAGGUGGAAGUAACCCAAGUGUUCACCAGUGAGGAAUGGAUGCACCAACUGUGGUCUGUCCACACAGCGGACUGUUAUUUUGCCUUAAAAAUGAAGCAGAGUGUUACGCACGCUACCACAUGGAUGAACCUGGAGGACGUGUGCUGAGUGAAUCAGCCAGUCGCAAAAGAUUGUGUAUGAAGCCCAGGAGGAAAGAGGGACCUUCAGGCUGUCGUGUCUUCCCCAGCAAAAGCAAGUUCGCAGCGACCACGUGGUCCUCUGUGUGUGGAGCAGCUGCCACCGGGCUCUUAGCAGCGCCCCUGCGUCAGGGUGAGAGCUGAGGCCCAGGGCUCCACCACGCUCCUGGUGAGCUACAAACUCGGCCAUGACCACCUGAGUGCCAGGGUCACCUUCGCUGCCUACCUGCCCCUCAAGCACGACCCUCCUGUGCCCAUGUUGGCCUCCAUAGACCUCAUCCUGGUGGAGGACGUGAAGGUGACUCUGGAAGAGGUGACCAUCUACAACUACUCUGGCAUCCAGGCGGAGCUGCACAUCAGAGAAGGCUCAGGAUACUCUUCCUCAGCACGAGCACUGCAGAGGUUGUCAAGGUGGCCUACCAGGAGGCCAGGGGAGUGAGUCGCCGUGAAACACAUAUCUCUACACAAAAUCAUGGAAACUAAAUACCUACUGCUGAAGGAUUAUUCAGUUAAGAAGGAAAUUAAGAUGGAAAUCAAAACAUUGUUUGAACUAAAUGAAAAGGGGGACUACAGUUAUCAAAAUCUGUGGGGCAUGGCUAAAGCAGUCCUCAGAGGAAAACUUAUAGCCAUACAUGCCUACAUCCAAAAGAUACAAAGAUCACAAUGUAAUGAAUUGUCUCAAAGAACUGGAAUAGGAUGAGCAAAGCAAU